GUGAAAACCCUCCAACAGCAGCUAGCCAUUAGAAGCAUACAAACACCUCUGCAAGUGCAAAUUUUCUUAUGAUUCUGAGAAUAUUCUCAGCUUCCAUGAUGCAGCCGACUCUCUUGUUGGGGGUCACUGAACUCUCAGUACAAGAUUCUUUGUACUAGAAAAGAAUCUGAAGUUAAAAGGUAGUAACUUUUCCAAGUCACCAACAAGCUUUUCCAAAAAAGAAUUUGAUAAAAGCAAAACCUGGUAUGAAGCGAAAACUCAAAUAUUUUUCUUUGUAAUUGAGAAGAAUCCCUAGUAG
RNAcentral lists this unclassified non-coding RNA (298 nucleotides) under Hevea brasiliensis (rubber tree). The record is from RNAcentral. Lineage: Eukaryota; Viridiplantae; Streptophyta; Magnoliopsida; Malpighiales; Euphorbiaceae.